Molecule: ribosomal RNA, 544 nt
Filed under: uncultured bacterium
Lineage: Bacteria
Description: bacterial SSU rRNA
Rfam family: Bacterial small subunit ribosomal RNA
Source: RNAcentral
GUCUGAUGGAGCAACGCCGCGUGAGUGAAGAAGGGUUUCGGCUCGUAAAGCUCUGUUGGUAGUGAAGAAAGAUAGAGGUAGUAACUGGCCUUUAUUUGACGGUAAUUACUUAGAAAGUCACGGCUAACUACGUGCCAGCAGCCGCGGUAAUACGUAGGUGGCAAGCGUUGUCCGGAUUUAUUGGGCGUAAAGCGAGUGCAGGCGGUUCAAUAAGUCUGAUGUGAAAGCCUUCGGCUCAACCGGAGAAUUGCAUCAGAAACUGUUGAACUUGAGUGCAGAAGAGGAGAGUGGAACUCCAUGUGUAGCGGUGGAAUGCGUAGAUAUAUGGAAGAACACCAGUGGCGAAGGCGGCUCUCUGGUCUGCAACUGACGCUGAGGCUCGAAAGCAUGGGUAGCGAACAGGAUUAGAUACCCUGGUAGUCCAUGCCGUAAACGAUGAGUGCUAAGUGUUGGGAGGUUUCCGCCUCUCAGUGCUGCAGCUAACGCAUUAAGCACUCCGCCUGGGGAGUACGACCGCAAGGUUGAAACUCAAAGGAAUUGACGG